AGUCAAACGGAUAGAAAUAUUCGAAUAAGCAAUUAUGAGUGGUUUAGGAUAGAAGAAGAAUUUGUUACUAUUUAGUUUUGAGUGGCUAACACUCAAGG
RNAcentral lists this ribosomal RNA (98 nucleotides) under Leuconostoc mesenteroides subsp. cremoris. The record is from RNAcentral. Lineage: Bacteria; Bacillati; Bacillota; Bacilli; Lactobacillales; Lactobacillaceae.